GGGGGAGUAACGCAGCGAAAGCUGUGCUAAUACCGCAUACGAUCUACGGAUGAAAGCAGGGGAUCGCAAGACCUUGCGCGAAUGGAGCGGCCGAUGGCAGAUUAGGUAGUUGGUGAGGUAAAGGCUCACCAAGCCUUCGAUCUGUAGCUGGUCUGAGAGGACGACCAGCCACACUGGGACUGAGACACGGCCCAGACUCCUACGGGAGGCAGCAGGA
This 217-nucleotide ribosomal RNA is filed under the name uncultured Variovorax sp. RNAcentral's name for it is "partial 16S ribosomal RNA". It matches the Rfam family "Bacterial small subunit ribosomal RNA", at positions 137 to 354 of the family's 1533-position model. Lineage: Bacteria; Pseudomonadati; Pseudomonadota; Betaproteobacteria; Burkholderiales; Comamonadaceae. The record is from RNAcentral.